Long non-coding RNA from Cyprinus carpio (common carp), 1486 nucleotides. NCBI's taxonomy places the organism in Eukaryota, Metazoa, Chordata, Actinopteri, Cypriniformes, Cyprinidae. The record is from Ensembl.
CCCGUCACCUGUGCCCACUUGGCUGGACGGUCGACCCCCAUACCUCUAAGGGAGAUGUAUCUCUCCCUGUGCUUCCUCUCAACAGUGGGAUUUCAUGGUGCGGGCCUGCUCAUGGUACUCAUUUAUCUCGCUCUCCUAAACUAGGCCUGACAAAACGAAUUCCUGAAGACUUCAGAGAAAAGGCUUGAAUCGCUGCAGAUUUACGCUAUACUCCCAUGCUGGCCGGCUUCCAGAGGAACUGAUAAAACAAUUUCAAUGGCAACCCAAUCUCGCCUACACAGGAUCCAGCUCAGAGGGAGGGUCAAGAGAAGCUUUUAGCCACCAUAAAUUCUCAGGCGGUAAUUCGAUCUGGCUUGAGAUGUUAGGGUUUGUUCCUGAUUAGUUAGUGGCCUUCCACAGGUACUGUACGUUACACAUCCAGACCCAUCUAAAGCACAUGUUCUUCUCUUCUCUGUCUAAAUACAGGAAACUCAACUCCACAGGAAAGAGGUGGAUUCUUGGCAUGCAUCAGAGAGUUUCUCCAGACAACGUCACUCUCUCUAGGCUCACCUACUGUGUCAUGGCCGGGACAUCUGGAAAGUUGACCUUUUGGAAGGGAAAUAUGAGGUUGGUGGGAUGAUAAGACUGAUAAGAUUGCAGCCAAGUCCAAUCUCUCAUGAAGUGAGACGUUACAUGAUGUUCUGCUGUCAGGCUCGGACACUGGCUAGUACUUUCUGGAUCCCUAGUUUGAGAGUUUUUUUAAUCAUAUCUGCCAAUGUGCAGAGGUGACUGCGUGGAAGUUAAAAAGAAGGGAAGUGUGUCUGCAGGACUGCCCAAAAUGACUCAUAUUCGGAGGGCAAGGAAUGGAAAGACGUGAGAGACAAGCAGAGGAUUUGUAAAUAUUUCAAGUUGUAAAUCAUAUGAUUCAUAAUAAUUUGUUUGUGACUCAUAUUUCCCAACUAUUAUGUAGUCAGCUAUCAUAAUAGAUAUAAAGUGCAACAUUCAACUUUUGAACAGCUUCCUGUCAGAAUGACUCCACCUACCAUGGCCUCUUAUCAGCAGAUCUGGGAUCAUUUUCCCUUUCCACUAUUGAAAUCAUGUCAGAACAGACUCUACAUCACCUCCUCUGGGACCCUUUGUAUUAGUUUUUUAGUGGGGGUAUGACGCUAGGAAUGAUAUAGAUAAGCUGAGAACUUUAUUCUGUUUUGAACCUCUCACUCAUUGCGGUCAUCAUUAAAUGCUCUUGAAUCAGCUGUCUAAUAGCCUAAGGCCUCUGGAGAAUAUUUAGCUGGAUCUUUUUGAAAACGCUGAUGGCCAUACAAGGUGGUGGCUUGGUUGGUUUAGUGUAAACAGUUAGAUGUUAGUGUGUUUCCUUGAUGAAGGACGAUGAGCUGAUUCACGUAAGAAUAGAUGCCUCACAUCCUGUAGUCACAAACGAAGAUCUGUUUGCAUGAGACUUUUCAUAUAAAGGUUAUGUUUAGCAAUAAAAAUAUACUAUGGUGAUCCA